This 303-nucleotide ribosomal RNA is filed under the name uncultured bacterium. RNAcentral's name for it is "partial 16S ribosomal RNA". It matches the Rfam family "Bacterial small subunit ribosomal RNA", at positions 507 to 807 of the family's 1533-position model. The record is from RNAcentral.
AGCAGUCGCCACGGGAAUACGAAGGGGGCUAGCGUUGCUCGGAAUUACUGGGCGUAAAGGGAGCGUAGGCGGGUCGUUUAGUCAGAGGUGAAAUCCCGGGGCUCAACCUCGGAACUGCCUUUGAUACUGGCGACCUUGAGUAUGGGAGAGGUAAGCGGAACUCCGAGUGUAGAGGUGAAAUUCGUAGAUAUUCGGAAGAACACCAGUGGCGAAGGCGACUUACUGGCCCAUUACUGACGCUGAGGCUCGAAAGCGUGGGGAGCGAACAGGAUUAGAUACCCCUGUAGUCCCUGUCUCUUAUAC